RNAcentral lists this long non-coding RNA (2242 nucleotides) under Salmo salar (Atlantic salmon). Its description in RNAcentral is "lncRNA (ENSSSAG00000088296.1)". The record is from RNAcentral. Lineage: Eukaryota; Metazoa; Chordata; Actinopteri; Salmoniformes; Salmonidae.
CAUUGGGGUGCCAGAGAAGCGAACAGUUUUGACUGGGCUGAGCGGGAACUGUGCUUCCUCAGAGAGCGGAGCUGGAGAAACAUGGGUACAAGAUGGAGACGUCUCAGUAGCAGCCGAGUCCACACGGCUGUUGAGAUCGGAUAGGGAUGGACUUGAAUUUAUAACAUCAUACUUGAAAUGGAGGAUGUUUAACUUGCUAAACUCGCACACAUUUUUGUACGAAACCUUAGCACGAGUAAAGUGUUUCACGAGUAAAUUCCCCGCUCAGAGUUAUGUAGACAUUAAAGAUGGUUAUUUUCAAGUAUCUGUCCACAUACUCUUAUUUAUGCACAUUUUCCAUCUUUAUAUAUAAUCAGCUGGUCAGUUACUGCUUUAAUAUAAAUCCAUAUUUUACAGGUUUUGUGUUUUUACUAUAAUGACCACUUUGGUCCAGGGCUUUGGUUUAACAUCCAUUUAAAUACCACUUUUUGUUAGAGCCAUUGAUUUAAAUGUAGCUUUACUGCCUGCGCAACACUUAACCUACGUUUUAAUGGUCCAGUAAUUAUUGGCCUGUGUGACACACUCCAUCUAUUUUAAUCCACAAUAUGAAUGUUGCAUGAUGUUAGUAAAGAGUCAAGUGCUGCACUGCACAUUUUUCCAUUGUAAUGCUCUUAGUUUGAAAACUACCACCCAUUUUUCACAUGGUCACUCUCCAAUAUUAAACCAUUCAAUGAACAGGUGUGUGUCAGUCAGAAGUGGAUGGGGAGACACACACACACGCAGCGAGAUGUGUGCAUAAAUUGUGUGUACAGUGUGUGGGUGUGUGUGUGUAGGAUGAUCCACACACAGGGAUGCGUGUUCCCCUCUGCUGUCUACAUUCCCUCUGAGCUCAUGGCGUUGGGGCUGGGUCUCAGUCUGAAGGAGAGAUUAUCCACUGCCGUGUUUGUCAGGGGCAGGGAGGUGGUCUCAGCAUGGGGGCCCCUGCCCUGCCUGGGCCUGCCCUACUCCCGACCAGGCCCUGCUUUUCCGGCUCUGCACAGCAGGGACCCCUGCACUGAACCGAGGCCAAUUUAGCCCAGCCACACUCGCCCCUGCAUUUGUGGACUCUCAGUCCCUCUGUCUUAAAGAGAAGAAAUGGAUGCCAGUAAAACCUGCUGUAUAAGAGCUGCUUCCUCUCCUCCAGUGUUGCUCCCUCUGCUCUUUAUAUGUUGCUGGUAGACCUGCGUUAGCUUCUGUGGGAAUAGCAGUUAGGAAAGUUUUCUGCACAUACUGUUUUCCAGUGUUUCUCUACAUAUUAUGGUUGUAUUAUUAGAUACAAUCCUGAUUUCCUGUUCAAAACAAAAUGGGUUGAUUUAUCUCGUCUAUCCUCCACCACUAUAGGCAAAACAGACCAUCCUGUCAUCUGUCUUUUCCAGAUGAUUUUACAUCUAUGAUCUAUUGCUCAUGGCUGUCGUUCGUAAUGGUGUCUUUUUAAGGUAUGUUCUCUGAUAUUUGUGAAGUUGCACAGGUGUAAGUCCUCAAGAUGAGGGUAUCUCUCCAGAGGGUAUAACUCCCUCUUCACCAGUGAUUAUGCCAAACACUCGUCUGCAGACCACAAUCCAACCGCUCCCUUGUGUGUAAAGCCCUUAUGACACGUUCUGAUCUCUCCAACUGUUCAGAAUGGAAUUUCAAUUAGUCCAAAAUGAACAUUUGGUGUCUUUAGACUUUAUAGACCCCAUUUGAACUUGCAGUUGUGGGUUCUACUAGUGAAAUAUAAAAUGUAUACAUUUUGACACAUUAUUAAAUGGAGGAUGUGGGACUAAGAUUGACACAAUACACAAAGAUGCUCACGUUUACUUAUGCCGUUAAGCUAAGUGCCAAGAGCCGGAUCAUUAUUUUAAUUGUUGGAAAGGCAACGGAGUGAGAGAAUCGGUAAGUGUGAGAAAUGGAGAACACAGCCAUUUUGUUUGUGCUGAGAGCGGCAGGUUGUCUCCCUGUGUUGGGGUUUGAGCAGGGCCUCUGUGCCCCCCCCCAAUUGCUUUUCAUUUGCCUAACUUUUGUCAUUCAUUUAUGAGCCACAUAAUUCACCUUGACAUGGGCAGUCUGCCCACUUUUACCAAUAUUAAUGUGUCAACAAUCACAUUUCUAGUUUGAACUGAACCCCAAUGAGGAUGUAUUUUUGGAAGGUAACAGGAUUUCAAUUUGGAACACUGUUUCAUCAAUAGACUGCUACAGUUGCUUUUGUCCACUUUGUCAAAAUAAAAAGCAUCUGUACAUGAAACCC